UUAAGGCGGGGAUAGUGGCGACGGGUGAGUAACACGUGGGCAAUCUGCCCUGCACUCUGGGACAAGCCCUGGAAACGGGGUCUAAUACCGGAUAUGACCGUCUGCCGCAUGGUGGAUGGUGUAAAGCUCCGGCGGUGCAGGAUGAGCCCGCGGCCUAUCAGCUUGUUGGUGAGGUAGUGGCUCACCAAGGCGACGACGGGUAGCCGGCCUGAGAGGGCGACCGGCCACACUGGGACUGAGACACGGCCCAGACUCCUACGGGAGGCAGCAGUGGGGAAUAUUGCACAAUGGGCGAAAGCCUGAUGCAGCGACGCCGCGUGAGGGAUGACGGCCUUCGGGUUGUAAACCUCUUUCAGCAGGGAAGAAGCGAAAGUGACGGUACCUGCAGAAGAAGCGCCGGCUAACUACGUGCCAGCAGCCGCGGUAAUACGUAGGGCGCAAGCGUUGUCCGGAAUUAUUGGGCGUAAAGAGCUCGUAGGCGGCUUGUCACGUCGGUUGUGAAAGCCCGGGGCUUAACCCCGGGUCUGCAGUCGAUACGGGCAGGCUAGAGUUCGGUAGGGGAGAUCGGAAUUCCUGGUGUAGCGGUGAAAUGCGCAGAUAUCAGGAGGAACACCGGUGGCGAAGGCGGAUCUCUGGGCCGAUACUGACGCUGAGGAGCGAAAGCGUGGGGAGCGAACAGGAUUAGAUACCCUGGUAGUCCACGCCGUAAACGGUGGGCACUAGGUGUGGGCAACAUUCCACGUUUGUCCGUGCCGCAGCUAACGCAUUAAGUGCCCCGCCUGGGGAGUACGUCGCAGGCUAAACUUCAAGAUGGACGGGGGCCCGCACAGCCGCGAGCAUGUGCUUAAUUCGACGCAACGCGAGA
RNAcentral lists this ribosomal RNA (865 nucleotides) under Streptomyces sp. RNAcentral describes it as "bacterial SSU rRNA". It matches the Rfam family "Bacterial small subunit ribosomal RNA", at positions 80 to 966 of the family's 1533-position model. Lineage: Bacteria; Bacillati; Actinomycetota; Actinomycetes; Kitasatosporales; Streptomycetaceae. The record is from RNAcentral.